Molecule: ribosomal RNA, 1543 nt
Filed under: Salmonella enterica subsp. enterica serovar Infantis
Lineage: Bacteria; Pseudomonadati; Pseudomonadota; Gammaproteobacteria; Enterobacterales; Enterobacteriaceae
Description: bacterial SSU rRNA
Rfam family: Bacterial small subunit ribosomal RNA
Source: RNAcentral
AAAUUGAAGAGUUUGAUCAUGGCUCAGAUUGAACGCUGGCGGCAGGCCUAACACAUGCAAGUCGAACGGUAACAGGAAGCAGCUUGCUGCUUUGCUGACGAGUGGCGGACGGGUGAGUAAUGUCUGGGAAACUGCCUGAUGGAGGGGGAUAACUACUGGAAACGGUGGCUAAUACCGCAUAACGUCGCAAGACCAAAGAGGGGGACCUUCGGGCCUCUUGCCAUCAGAUGUGCCCAGAUGGGAUUAGCUAGUUGGUGAGGUAACGGCUCACCAAGGCGACGAUCCCUAGCUGGUCUGAGAGGAUGACCAGCCACACUGGAACUGAGACACGGUCCAGACUCCUACGGGAGGCAGCAGUGGGGAAUAUUGCACAAUGGGCGCAAGCCUGAUGCAGCCAUGCCGCGUGUAUGAAGAAGGCCUUCGGGUUGUAAAAGUACUUUCAGCGGGGAGGAAGGUGUUGAGGUUAAUAACCGCAGCAAUUGACGUUACCCGCAGAAGAAGCACCGGCUAACUCCGUGCCAGCAGCCGCGGUAAUACGGAGGGUGCAAGCGUUAAUCGGAAUUACUGGGCGUAAAGCGCACGCAGGCGGUCUGUCAAGUCGGAUGUGAAAUCCCCGGGCUCAACCUGGGAACUGCAUUCGAAACUGGCAGGCUUGAGUCUUGUAGAGGGGGGUAGAAUUCCAGGUGUAGCGGUGAAAUGCGUAGAGAUCUGGAGGAAUACCGGUGGCGAAGGCGGCCCCCUGGACAAAGACUGACGCUCAGGUGCGAAAGCGUGGGGAGCAAACAGGAUUAGAUACCCUGGUAGUCCACGCCGUAAACGAUGUCUACUUGGAGGUUGUGCCCUUGAGGCGUGGCUUCCGGAGCUAACGCGUUAAGUAGACCGCCUGGGGAGUACGGCCGCAAGGUUAAAACUCAAAUGAAUUGACGGGGGCCCGCACAAGCGGUGGAGCAUGUGGUUUAAUUCGAUGCAACGCGAAGAACCUUACCUGGUCUUGACAUCCACAGAAGAAUCCAGAGAUGGAUUUGUGCCUUCGGGAACUGUGAGACAGGUGCUGCAUGGCUGUCGUCAGCUCGUGUUGUGAAAUGUUGGGUUAAGUCCCGCAACGAGCGCAACCCUUAUCCUUUGUUGCCAGCGGUUAGGCCGGGAACUCAAAGGAGACUGCCAGUGAUAAACUGGAGGAAGGUGGGGAUGACGUCAAGUCAUCAUGGCCCUUACGACCAGGGCUACACACGUGCUACAAUGGCGCAUACAAAGAGAAGCGACCUCGCGAGAGCAAGCGGACCUCAUAAAGUGCGUCGUAGUCCGGAUUGGAGUCUGCAACUCGACUCCAUGAAGUCGGAAUCGCUAGUAAUCGUGGAUCAGAAUGCCACGGUGAAUACGUUCCCGGGCCUUGUACACACCGCCCGUCACACCAUGGGAGUGGGUUGCAAAAGAAGUAGGUAGCUUAACCUUCGGGAGGGCGCUUACCACUUUGUGAUUCAUGACUGGGGUGAAGUCGUAACAAGGUAACCGUAGGGGAACCUGCGGUUGGAUCACCUCCUUA